RNAcentral lists this ribosomal RNA (924 nucleotides) under uncultured bacterium. RNAcentral describes it as "bacterial SSU rRNA". It matches the Rfam family "Bacterial small subunit ribosomal RNA", at positions 1 to 916 of the family's 1533-position model. RNAcentral also lists the same sequence under 1 other name. The record is from RNAcentral.
GGAUCCAGACUUUGAUUCUGGCUCAGGAUGAACGCUAGCUACAGGCUUAACACAUGCAAGUCGAGGGGAAACGAUAGAGAAAGCUUGCUUUUUCUAGGCGUCGACCGGCGCACGGGUGAGUAACGCGUAUCCAACCUGCCCAUCACUUGGGGAUAACCUUGCGAAAGUAAGACUAAUACCCAAUGAUAUCUCAAGAAGGCAUCUGAAUGAGAUUAAAGAUUUAUCGGUGAUGGAUGGGGAUGCGUCUGAUUAGCUUGUUGGCGGGGUAACGGCCCACCAAGGCGACGAUCUGUAGGGGUUCUGAGAGGAAGGUCCCCCACAUUGGAACUGAGACACGGUCCAAACUCCUACGGGAGGCAGCAGUGAGGAAUAUUGGUCAAUGGGCGAGAGCCUGAACCAGCCAAGUAGCGUGCAGGAUGACGGCCCUAUGGGUUGUAAACUGCUUUUAUAAGGGAAUAAAGUGAGCCUCGUGAGGCUUUUUGCAUGUACCUUAUGAAUAAGGACCGGCUAAUUCCGUGCCAGCAGCCGCGGUAAUACGGAAGGUCCGGGCGUUAUCCGGAUUUAUUGGGUUUAAAGGGAGCGUAGGCCGGAGAUUAAGCGUGUUGUGAAAUGUAGAUGCUCAACAUCUGCACUGCAGCGCGAACUGGUUUCCUUGAGUACGCACAAAGUGGGCGGAAUUCGUGGUGUAGCGGUGAAAUGCUUAGAUAUCACGAAGAACUCCGAUUGCGAAGGCAGCUCACUGGAGCGCAACUGACGCUGAAGCUCGAAAGUGCGGGUAUCGAACAGGAUUAGAUACCCUGGUAGUCCGCACGGUAAACGAUGGAUGCCCGCUGUUGGUCUGAAUAGGUCAGCGGCCAAGCGAAAGCAUUAAGCAUCCCACCUGGGGAGUACGCCGGCAACGGUGCAACUCAAGGGAAUUGACGG